Molecule: ribosomal RNA, 577 nt
Filed under: uncultured Gammaproteobacteria bacterium
Lineage: Bacteria; Pseudomonadati; Pseudomonadota; Gammaproteobacteria
Description: bacterial SSU rRNA
Rfam family: Bacterial small subunit ribosomal RNA
Source: RNAcentral
GAAAGCACUUCGGUGUGAGUACAGCGGCGGACGGGUGAGUAACGCGUUAGGAAUCUACCCAGUAGAUGGGGGACAACUUUGGGGAAACCCAAGCUAAUACCGCAUACGCCCUACGGGGGAAAGCGGGGGACCUUCGGGCCUCGUGCUAUUGGAUGAGCCUGCGUCGGAUUAGCUAGUUGGUGGGGUAAAGGCCCACCAAGGCGACGAUCCGUAGCUGGUCUGAGAGGAUGAUCAGCCACACUGGGACUGAGACACGGCCCAGACUCCUACGGGAGGCAGCAGUGGGGAAUAUUGCGCAAUGGGGGCAACCCUGACGCANCCAUGCCGCGUGUGUGAAGAAGGCCUUAGGGUUGUAAAGCACUUUCACUUGGGAAGAAAAGCUGCAGGUUAAUAGCCUGUAGCCGUGACAUUACCUUGAGAAGAAGCACCGGCUAACUCCGUGCCAGCAGCCGCGGUAAUACGGAGGGUGCGAGCGUUAAUCGGAAUUACUGGGCGUAAAGCGCGCGUAGGCGGUUUGUUAAGUCGGAUGUGAAAGCCCUGGGCUCAACCUGGGAACUGCAUCCGAUACUGGCCGACU